This 515-nucleotide ribosomal RNA is filed under the name uncultured bacterium. Its description in RNAcentral is "bacterial SSU rRNA". It matches the Rfam family "Bacterial small subunit ribosomal RNA", at positions 37 to 507 of the family's 1533-position model. The record is from RNAcentral.
UGGCGGCGUGCCUAAUACAUGCAAGUCGAACGCAUUGUGGUUGAAAUGAUAUGAAGAACUUGUUCAGAUUUGAUUUUCAACAUUGCAAUGAGUGGCGAACGGGUGAGUAACACGUGGGAAACCUACCUCUUAGCAGGGGAUAACAUUUGGAAACAAAUGCUAAUACCGUAUAAUAAUUAAAACCGCAUGGUUUUAGUUUAAAAGAUGGUCUUGCUAUCACUAAGAGAUGGUCCCGCGGUGUAUUAGUUAGUUGGUGAGGUAAUGGCUCACCAAGACAAUGAUACAUAGCCGAGUUGAGAGACUGACCGGCCACAAUGGGACUGAGACACGGCCCAUACUCCUACGGGAGGCAGCAGUAGGGAAUCUUCCACAAUGGACGAAAGUCUGAUGGAGCAACGCCGCGUGUGUGAUGAAGGGUUUCGGCUCGUAAAACACCGUUGUAAGAGAAGAAUGACAUUGAGAGUAACUGUUCAAUGUGUGACGGUAUUUACCAGAAAGGAACGGCUAAAUACGUG